UAAUACAGAGGGUGCAAGCGUUAAUCGGAAUUACUGGGCGUAAAGGGUGUGUAGGUGGUUUGAUAAGUUAGGUGUGAAAGUCCUGGGCUUAACCUGGGAAUUGCGCCUAAUACUGUCGAGCUAGAGUACUGUAGAGGAAGGUGGAAUUUCCGGUGUAGCGGUGAAAUGCGUAGAUAUCGGAAGGAACAUCAGUGGCGAAGGCGACCUUCUGGACAGAUACUGACACUGAGACACGAAAGCAUGGGUAGCAAACAGGAUUAGAUACCCUGGUAGUCCAUGCUGUAAACGAUGAGAACUGGCUGUUGGGCGCCGUGAGGCGCUUAGUAGCGAAGCUAACGCGUUAAGUUCUCCGCCUGGGGAGUACGGCCGCAAGGCUA
This 377-nucleotide ribosomal RNA is filed under the name uncultured bacterium. RNAcentral's name for it is "bacterial SSU rRNA". It matches the Rfam family "Bacterial small subunit ribosomal RNA", at positions 521 to 896 of the family's 1533-position model. The record is from RNAcentral.